CCUACGGGCGGCAGCAGUGAGGAAUAUUGGUCAAUGGACGAGAGUCUGAACCAGCCAAGUAGCGUGAAGGAUGACUGCCCUAUGGGUUGUAAACUUCUUUUAUAUGGGAAUAAAACGUUCCACGUGUGGGAUUUUGUAUGUACCAUAUGAAUAAGGAUCGGCUAACUCCGUGCCAGCAGCCGCGGUAAUACAGAGGAUCCGAGCGUUAUCCGGAUUUAUUGGGUUUAAAGGGAGCGUAGGUGGAUUGUUAAGUCAGUUGUGAAAGUUUGCGGCUCAACCGUAAAAUUGCAGUUGAAACUGGCAGUCUUGAGUACAGUAGAGGUGGGCGGAAUUCGUGGUGUAGCGGUGAAAUGCUUAGAUAUCACGAAGAACUCCGAUUGCGAAGGCAGUUCACUGGACUGCAACUGACACUGAGGCUCGAAAGUGUGGGUAUCAAACAGGAUUAGAUACCCUUGUAGUC
RNAcentral lists this ribosomal RNA (460 nucleotides) under uncultured bacterium. RNAcentral describes it as "partial 16S ribosomal RNA". It matches the Rfam family "Bacterial small subunit ribosomal RNA", at positions 338 to 795 of the family's 1533-position model. The record is from RNAcentral.